Molecule: ribosomal RNA, 771 nt
Filed under: uncultured bacterium
Lineage: Bacteria
Description: bacterial SSU rRNA
Rfam family: Bacterial small subunit ribosomal RNA
Source: RNAcentral
GAACGCCGAAGGGGCUUCGGUCCUGAGUAGAGUGGCGUCCGGGUGAGUAACGCGUGGGUAAUCUACCUUUGGAUGGGGAAUAACAAUCGGAAACGAUUGCUAAUACCGCAUAAUGCAGCGGCACCUAAUGGUGACAGUUGUUAAAGCGGGGGAUCGAAAGACCUCGCGUCUGAAGAGGAGCCUGCGGCGGAUUAGCUAGUUGGUAAGGUAAUGGCUUACCAAGGCUACGAUCCGUAACCGGCCUGAGAGGGCGGUCGGUCACACUGACACUGACAUACGGGUCAGACUCCUACGGGAGGCAGCAGUCGGGAAUUUUGGGCAAUGGGCGAAAGCCUGACCCAGCAACGCCGCGUGAAGGAUGAAAUCCCUCGGGAUGUAAACUUCGCAAGAACGGGAAGAAUAAGUAGGGGACAAUACCCCCUAUGAUGACGGUACCGUUUGUAAGCUCCGGCUAACUCCGUGCCAGCAGCCGCGGUAAUACGGGGGGAGCAAGCGUUGUUCGGAUUUACUGGGCGUAAAGGGCGCGUAGGCGGCCAGCACAAGUCAGUUGUGAAAUCUCCGAGCUUAACUCGGAAAGGUCAACUGAUACUGUGCGGCUAGAGUGCAGAAGGGGCAACUGGAAUUCUUGGUGUAGCGGUGAAAUGCGUAGAUAUCAAGAGGAACACCUGCGGCGAAGGCGGGUUGCUGGGCUGACACUGACGCUGAGGCGCGAAAGCUAGGGGAGCGAACGGGAUUAGAUACCCCGGGUAGUCCUAGCCUUAAACGAUGAAU